GUAGGUGUGGCUCAGAGGUAGAGCACUCGCCUGGCACAUGCGAGGUGCUGGGUUCGAUCCUCAGUACCACA
This 71-nucleotide transfer RNA is filed under the name Marmota monax (woodchuck). It matches the Rfam family "tRNA". Rfam says of the family: Transfer RNA (tRNA) molecules are approximately 80 nucleotides in length. Their secondary structure includes four short double-helical elements and three loops (D, anti-codon, and T loops). The record is from Rfam by way of RNAcentral. Lineage: Eukaryota; Metazoa; Chordata; Mammalia; Rodentia; Sciuridae.